This 332-nucleotide ribosomal RNA is filed under the name uncultured eukaryote. RNAcentral's name for it is "partial 18S ribosomal RNA". It matches the Rfam family "Eukaryotic small subunit ribosomal RNA", at positions 1470 to 1796 of the family's 1831-position model. The record is from RNAcentral.
CCCUUAGAUGUCCUGGGCUGCACGCGCGCUACACUGGAAGUUACGGAUUGAGAUACUACCUUGUCCGAAAUGGUCCGGGUAAUCACCUAAAAGCUUGUCAUAAUUGGAAUGGAUUAUUGUAACUAGUAAUCCUGAACGAGGAAUUCCUAGUAAGUCCCAGUCAACAGCUGGUACUGAUUACGUCCCUGCCCUUUGUACACACCGCCCGUCACUACUACUGAUUGGACGUUUAAGCAAGAUUUUUAAACACUGACAGUGUGUAGUUCACGCUAUACUACAGUGAGAAGAAGAAGAUCGAGCUUACUUGUCUAGAGGAAGUAAAAGUCGUAACA